UGGAGGAGCUAACGUGAGCCAACGAGAAACAUGUGCAUUAAAUUGGGCACAAACGAAAUAAUAUAAAUAUUUUGGUAGCUUUUGCUUGGGGUUUUCUCAAGCCCAAACCAUUUGAGGGGGGAAAAGAGAAAAUGUUGGUAUUUUUGAUGAACUCCAAAGAGGGCAAGCCUGGGGACAGAGACAGGGGAUCGCUGCCCUGUGGGCUCGAUGUGGCGAGCUCUGACUUGGGAGCGCUAGCCCAGGGGGUCUGGUGUUGCUGGAUUGAUGGCCUUCAGGGGUGUACAGUGGCCAGGGUGAAAGGAACACUCCACAUGUGCCCCGACCAUGGUUUAUUCCAGGUUGUAGAAUUUUGCCCACUGAAACCUUCAGAGGCCAACGGACACUAGGAGCUGGCAGACCACAGCCCCCCCACCACAGUGGGCAGGGUCCACCUCAGCAGCAGAGAGCCUGGUCACUGGAGGUCACAGCCUUCCCAGUGCAGCCCACGGUGGCAGAGCAAGGCAGGGGUCAACAGCUAGACAUAGGAUGCUCUGAUGGACAAUCUGCACCCAGAGCCCCCGCCCUGGUGACCCCAGCUUCCUCAGGCCGGGGCACAGCGGCUCUGCUCUCUCUACCUCGUCUGCUACCCCUCCUUCCUGUCCCAGGUGUUGAUUCCUAGAGAACAUCUUGCAUCCAAGAUCUUGUUCUCCAGAGACACAGAGCCGGUAGGAUGCAUGUGGGGAACUCUGUUGGAGGUGACACCACCCACGAUCCUGGAGUGCAGAGGUCUCCUAACAGGCCAUCUGUGAUCUGAAGAAUCAGAAAAGUCAGUAGCAUGGUCAGUCCCAGCUGGGAACCAGCAAAGGCAAUGGAUGGGACAGUCCCCAGCCGGACACCCGCAUCCUGAGAGCCACCUGGAGCUGCUGAUCUGGGACUCAGCGUCCAGAGGCCAAAGAACCUGGGCCACAUUCAUUGAGGACAGAUCCUCCCGCCCACCCUGCUCCACAGAUGUCUCCAGGACCAACCCUCAGGCAAGCUGACUCCAGAAUUAACCACCGCACACCCCACCACUCUGCCUUAGCCUUUGUUCCUGGAGAACUGAGUCUAGACCAUUCUACAUGCUCACUGCCUUCACUGUGGUCUUAUGAACUGAGAGGAUCCCACUUCACAGAAGAGGACACUGAGGUUCAGAGGGGCAAAACUCGCGGAGGAAGAGGACAAACACUUUGGAAGUCCAAUGUGGUGGCCCUGGGUCCGUUUCUGCCGCUUCUGUGGUCUGGGAUAGGCUUCCCCCACCUCAGGGACUUUUGCUUCUGGAUUUUCCAUGACCCUGCAUGCAGUGGUGCAUUCUUGUCUGAUUAGGUGUGCUGGUAAACAAGGUGCGGGCAGCAAAUUGUGUAAGAAAAGAACCUUCAACACUUAUCAACAAUGGGGGUGGGAAUUCUAUAAUUUACUGGGCACUUACUAAGUGCUGUGAACUCUGUGUAUGUAACUUCUGUGGAUGAUGAUGAUAGCAUCUGAGGUUCAGGGAUGCUGAUGAGGAGGCAGGCACUGUGCUGCCUAUUUGGUGUUUUAGCCCAUCCAGACCUGACAAUAACUGAUAAGCCUGAUGCUGCUAACAUUCCUGCCGAGGAAGGUGGCAAAGAAUUUGGUCUCCAGCAUCUAAGAGUCAAGCUAGGGCUACGUACCCCAGAGCUGGUCUGCUAGCCCUCUGGGCUGCACAGCUCUGCUACCAAGCCUACAGUGACCACUGCUAUCCCCACUGGACAAGGUGAGCUCUUGAGGCUCAGAGUAUUGGAUGCAGUAGCCCCUCGUCAUCGCAGUUUUAUUUCCCAGUUUUAGUUGCCUGAAGCCUGAAAAUAUUAAAUGAAUAAUUUCUGAAAUAA
Non-coding RNA from Ictidomys tridecemlineatus (thirteen-lined ground squirrel), 1865 nucleotides. Lineage: Eukaryota; Metazoa; Chordata; Mammalia; Rodentia; Sciuridae. The record is from RefSeq and is a predicted model, not a curated record.